GGCUUUUAAAUGUGCGCUUAGCUACGGCUGGUGCCCGUAGGGCUUCGCUCACUUGAGCCCCGCCCGAGGAAAGGCAGC
This 78-nucleotide transfer RNA is filed under the name Caulerpa lentillifera. Its description in RNAcentral is "tRNA-Thr". The record is from RNAcentral. Lineage: Eukaryota; Viridiplantae; Chlorophyta; Ulvophyceae; Bryopsidales; Caulerpaceae.